AUGAACGCCACCACGAUCAUGGAUGUCAUCGAGGUACCUCUGUUUCCUCAGUCCUACUCCUACCAGGAAAGUUUUCAGAUAGUUACUGCUAAGAACUUCUAUGCAGUUCUCUUGGGCAAUAAAACUGCAGUCACUGGAGGGAGCAAACCAAAUGACCAUAUAUUUAUCUACUACUCAGAUCACGGGGGUCCUGGAGUCCUUGGUAUGCCCAACCUGCCAUAUCCCUAUGCUGUGGAUUUUAUCAAGGUCUUACAAGAAAAACAUGCAUCCAACCCCUACGCAAAAAUGGUUAUAUAUGUGGAAGCUUGUGAAAGUGGCAGUAUUUUUGAGGGUUUGAUGCCUGCAGACCUCAAUAUUUAUGUCACAACAACAUCUAAUGAAGAAGAAAGCAGCUGGGGUACAUACUGCCCAGGAAUGGAACCAUCGCCUCCUUUUGAGUAUAUUACCUGCUUAGGUGAUCUCUACAGUAUUUCUUGGAUGGAAGACAUGUAUGUAACUCGUAACCUAAAUUCACAAUGA
This 519-nucleotide ribosomal RNA is filed under the name Triticum aestivum (bread wheat). RNAcentral's name for it is "partial small subunit ribosomal RNA". Lineage: Eukaryota; Viridiplantae; Streptophyta; Magnoliopsida; Poales; Poaceae. The record is from RNAcentral.